GACGAACGCUGGCGGCGUGCUUAACACAUGCAAGUCGUACGGUAAGGCCCUUUCGGGGGUCCACGAGUGGCGCACGGGUGAGUAACACGUGAGUAACCUGCCCACAACUUUGGGAUAACGCUAGGAAACUGGUGCUAAUACUGGAUAUGUGCUCCUGCUGCAUGGUGGGGGUUGGAAAGCUCCGGCGGUUGUGGAUGGACUCGCGGCCUAUCAGCUUGUUGGUGGGGUAGUGGCCUACCAAGGCGGCGACGGGUAGCCGGCCUGAGAGGGUGACCGGCCACAUUGGGACUGAGAGACGGCCCAGACUCCGACGGGAGGCAGCAGUGGGGAAUAUUGCACAAUGGGCGCAAGCCUGAUGCAGCAACGCCGCGUGCGGGAUGACGGCCUUCGGGUUGUAAACCGCUUUCAGCAGGGACGAAGCUUUUUGUGACGGUACCUGCAGAAGAAGCACCGGCUAACUACGUG
This 465-nucleotide ribosomal RNA is filed under the name uncultured bacterium. RNAcentral describes it as "partial 16S ribosomal RNA". It matches the Rfam family "Bacterial small subunit ribosomal RNA", at positions 28 to 507 of the family's 1533-position model. The record is from RNAcentral.